CAGUCGCCACGGUAAUACGGAGGGUGCGAGCGUUAAUCGGAAUUACUGGGCGUAAAGCGUGCGCAGGCGGUUGUGUAAGACAGGUGUGAAAUCCCCGGGCUUAACCUGGGAACUGCGCUUGUGACUGCACAGCUAGAGUAUGGCAGAGGGGGGUGGAACUCCACGUGUAGCAGUGAAAUGCGUAGAGAUGUGGAGGAACACCGAUGGCGAAGGCAGCCCCCUGGGCCAAUACUGACGCUCAUGCACGAAAGCGUGGGGAGCAAACAGGAUUAGAUACCCCUGUAGUCCCUGUCUCUUAUAC
RNAcentral lists this ribosomal RNA (301 nucleotides) under uncultured bacterium. RNAcentral describes it as "partial 16S ribosomal RNA". It matches the Rfam family "Bacterial small subunit ribosomal RNA", at positions 509 to 807 of the family's 1533-position model. The record is from RNAcentral.